UUAAGCGACUAAGCGUACACGGUGGAUGCCCUGGCAGUCAGAGGCGAUGAAGGGCGUGCUAAUCUGCGAUAAGCGCCGGUAAGGUGAUAUGAACCGUUAUAACCGGCGAUACCCGAAUGGGGAAACCCAGUGUGAUUCGUCACACUAUCAUUAACUGAAUCCAUAGGUUAAUGAGGCGAACCGGGGGAACUGAAACAUCUAAGUACCCCGAGGAAAAGAAAUCAACCGAGAUUCCCCCAGUAGCGGCGAGCGAACGGGGAGGAGCCCAGAGCCUGAAUCAGCAUGUGUGUUAGUGGAAGCGUCUGGAAAGGCGCGCGAUACAGGGUGACAGCCCCGUACACAAAAGCGCAUGUGCUGUGAGCUCGAUGAGUAGGGCGGGACACGUGGUAUCCUGUCUGAAUAUGGGGGGACCAUCCUCCAAGGCUAAAUACUCCUGACUGACCGAUAGUGAACCAGUACCGUGAGGGAAAGGCGAAAAGAACCCCGGCGAGGGGAGUGAAAAAGAACCUGAAACCGUGUACGUACAAGCAGUGGGAGCACAGGUUUACCUGUGUGACUGCGUACCUUUUGUAUAAUGGGUCAGCGACUUAUAUUCUGUAGCAAGGUUAACCGAAUAGGGGAGCCGGAGGGAAACCGAGUCUUAAUUGGGCGUUAAGUUGCAGGGUAUAGACCCGAAACCCGGUGAUCUAGCCAUGGGCAGGUUGAAGGUUGGGUAACACUAACUGGAGGACCGAACCGACUAAUGUUGAAAAAUUAGCGGAUGACCUGUGGCUGGGGGUGAAAGGCCAAUCAAACCGGGAGAUAGCUGGUUCUCCCCGAAAGCUAUUUAGGUAGCGCCUCGUGAAUUCAUCUCCGGGGGUAGAGCACUGUUUCGGCUAGGGGGCCAUCCCGGCUUACCAACCCGAUGCAAACUGCGAAUACCGGAGAAUGUUAUCACGGGAGACACACGGCGGGUGCUAACGUCCGUCGUGAAGAGGGAAACAACCCAGACCGCCAGCUAAGGUCCCAAAGUCAUGGUUAAGUGGGAAACGAUGUGGGAAGGCCCAGACAGCCAGGAUGUUGGCUUAGAAGCAGCCAUCAUUUAAAGAAAGCGUAAUAGCUCACUGGUCGAGUCGGCCUGCGCGGAAGAUGUAACGGGGCUAAACCAUGCACCGAAGCUGCGGCAGCGACGCUGAUGCGUUGUUGGGUAGGGGAGCGUUCUGUAAGCCUGUGAAGGUGUGUCGUGAGGCAUGCUGGAGGUAUCAGAAGUGCGAAUGCUGACAUAAGUAACGAUAAAGCGGGUGAAAAGCCCGCUCGCCGGAAGACCAAGGGUUCCUGUCCAACGUUAAUCGGGGCAGGGUGAGUCGACCCCUAAGGCGAGGCCGAAAGGCGUAGUCGAUGGGAAACGGGUUAAUAUUCCCGUACUUGGUGUUACUGCGAAGGGGGGACGGAGAAGGCUAUGUUGGCCGGGCGACGGUUGUCCCGGUUUAAGCGUGUAGGUGUGUGUUCCAGGUAAAUCCGGUUCACUUUAACACUGAGGCGUGAUGACGAGGCACUACGGUGCUGAAGCAACAAAUGCCCUGCUUCCAGGAAAAGCCUCUAAGCAUCAGGUAACAUCAAAUCGUACCCCAAACCGACACAGGUGGUCAGGUAGAGAAUACCAAGGCGCUUGAGAGAACUCGGGUGAAGGAACUAGGCAAAAUGGUGCCGUAACUUCGGGAGAAGGCACGCUGACACGUAGGUGAAGUGAUUUACUCACGGAGCUGAAGUCAGUCGAAGAUACCAGCUGGCUGCAACUGUUUAUUAAAAACACAGCACUGUGCAAACACGAAAGUGGACGUAUACGGUGUGACGCCUGCCCGGUGCCGGAAGGUUAAUUGAUGGGGUCAGCGCAAGCGAAGCUCCUGAUCGAAGCCCCGGUAAACGGCGGCCGUAACUAUAACGGUCCUAAGGUAGCGAAAUUCCUUGUCGGGUAAGUUCCGACCUGCACGAAUGGCGUAAUGAUGGCCAGGCUGUCUCCACCCGAGACUCAGUGAAAUUGAACUCGCUGUGAAGAUGCAGUGUACCCGCGGCAAGACGGAAAGACCCCGUGAACCUUUACUAUAGCUUGACACUGAACAUUGAGCCUUGAUGUGUAGGAUAGGUGGGAGGCUUUGAAGUGUGGACGCCAGUCUGCAUGGAGCCGACCUUGAAAUACCACCCUUUAAUGUUUGAUGUUCUAACGUGGACCCGUAAUCCGGGUUGCGGACAGUGUCUGGUGGGUAGUUUGACUGGGGCGGUCUCCUCCUAAAGAGUAACGGAGGAGCACGAAGGUUGGCUAAUCCUGGUCGGACAUCAGGAGGUUAGUGCAAUGGCAUAAGCCAGCUUGACUGCGAGCGUGACGGCGCGAGCAGGUGCGAAAGCAGGUCAUAGUGAUCCGGUGGUUCUGAAUGGAAGGGCCAUCGCUCAACGGAUAAAAGGUACUCCGGGGAUAACAGGCUGAUACCGCCCAAGAGUUCAUAUCGACGGCGGUGUUUGGCACCUCGAUGUCGGCUCAUCACAUCCUGGGGCUGAAGUAGGUCCCAAGGGUAUGGCUGUUCGCCAUUUAAAGUGGUACGCGAGCUGGGUUUAGAACGUCGUGAGACAGUUCGGUCCCUAUCUGCCGUGGGCGCUGGAGAACUGAGGGGGGCUGCUCCUAGUACGAGAGGACCGGAGUGGACGCAUCACUGGUGUUCGGGUUGUCAUGCCAAUGGCACUGCCCGGUAGCUAAAUGCGGAAGAGAUAAGUGCUGAAAGCAUCUAAGCACGAAACUUGCCCCGAGAUGAGUUCUCCCUGAGACUUAGAGUCUCCUGAAGGAACGUUGAAGACGACGACGUUGAUAGGCCGGGUGUGUAAGCGCAGCGAUGCGUUGAGCUAACCGGUACUAAUGAACCGUGAGGCUUAACCUU
This 2906-nucleotide ribosomal RNA is filed under the name Salmonella enterica subsp. enterica serovar Typhimurium. RNAcentral's name for it is "bacterial LSU rRNA". It matches the Rfam family "Bacterial large subunit ribosomal RNA". Lineage: Bacteria; Pseudomonadati; Pseudomonadota; Gammaproteobacteria; Enterobacterales; Enterobacteriaceae. The record is from RNAcentral.